This 586-nucleotide ribosomal RNA is filed under the name uncultured bacterium. RNAcentral's name for it is "bacterial SSU rRNA". It matches the Rfam family "Bacterial small subunit ribosomal RNA", at positions 338 to 946 of the family's 1533-position model. The record is from RNAcentral.
CCUACGGGAGGCAGCAGUGGGGAAUCUUGCACAAUGGAGGAAACUCUGAUGCAGCGAUGCCGCGUGAGUGAAGAAGGCCUUUGGGUUGUAAAGCUCUUUUGUAGGGGAAGAUAAUGACUGUACCCUAAGAAUAAGGUCCGGCUAACUUCGUGCCAGCAGCCGCGGUAAUACGAAGGGACCUAGCGUAGUUCGGAAUUACUGGGCGUAAAGCGCGCGUAGGCCGUUGAGUUAGUUAAUUGUGAAAUCCCAAAGCUUAACUUUGGAACUGCAAUUAAAACUGCUCGACUAGAGUUUGAUAGAGGAAAGCGGAAUACAUAGUGUAGAGGUGAAAUUCGUAGAUAUUAUGUAGAACACCAGUUGCGAAGGCGGCUUUCUGGAUCAACACUGACGCUGAGGCGCGAAAGUAUGGGUAGCAAAGAGGAUUAGAUACCCUCGUAGUCCAUACCAUAAACGAUGAUUGCUAGAUGUUGGAAAUUUAUUUUCAGUAUCGCAGCUAACGCAUUAAGCAAUCCGCCUGGGGAUACGACCGCAAGGUUAAAACUCAAAGGAAUUGACGGCUGAGAGNGCGACGACGACACGAGGAGAG